Molecule: ribosomal RNA, 558 nt
Filed under: uncultured Gammaproteobacteria bacterium
Lineage: Bacteria; Pseudomonadati; Pseudomonadota; Gammaproteobacteria
Description: bacterial SSU rRNA
Rfam family: Bacterial small subunit ribosomal RNA
Source: RNAcentral
ACGCUGGCGGCAUGCCUAACACAUGCAAGUCGAACGGCAGCACAGCAGUAGCAAUACUGUGGGUGGCGAGUGGCGGACGGGUGAGUAAUGCAUCGGGACCUACCUAGACGUGGGGGAUAACGUAGGGAAACUUACGCUAAUACCGCAUACGUCCUACGGGAGAAAGCAGGGGACCUUCGGGCCUUGCGCGGUUAGACGGACCGAUGUUCGAUUAGCUUGUUGGUGAGGUAAUGGCUCACCAAGGCGACGAUCGAUAGCUGGUCUGAGAGGAUGAUCAGCCACACUGGAACUGAGACACGGUCCAGACUCCUACGGGAGGCAGCAGUGGGGAAUAUUGGACAAUGGGCGCAAGCCUGAUCCAGCAAUGCCGCGUGUGUGAAGAAGGCCUUCGGGUUGUAAAGCACUUUUAUCAGGAGCGAAAUACUACCGGCUAAUACCCGGUGGGGCUGACGGUACCUGGGGAAUAAGCACCGGCUAACUUCGUGCCAGCAGCCGCGGUAAUACGAAGGGUGCAAGCGUUAAUCGGAAUUACUGGGCGUAAAGCGUGCGUAGGCGGUU